RNAcentral lists this ribosomal RNA (301 nucleotides) under uncultured bacterium. RNAcentral's name for it is "partial 16S ribosomal RNA". It matches the Rfam family "Bacterial small subunit ribosomal RNA", at positions 509 to 807 of the family's 1533-position model. The record is from RNAcentral.
CAGCAGCCGCGGUAAUACGUAGGUGGCAAGCGUUGUCCGGAAUUAUUGGGCGUAAAGCGUGCGCAGGCGGUUAUGCAAGACAGAUGUGAAAUCCCCGGGCUCAACCUGGGAACUGCAUUUGUGACUGCAUGGCUAGAGUGCGGCAGAGGGGGAUGGAAUUCCGCGUGUAGCAGUGAAAUGCGUAGAUAUGCGGAGGAACACCGAUGGCGAAGGCAAUCCCCUGGGCCUGCACUGACGCUCAUGCACGAAAGCGUGGGGAGCAAACAGGAUUAGAUACCCCCGUAGUCCCUGUCUCUUAUAC